AGUCGAACGGCAGCGGGGAGGAGCUUGCUUCUCUGCCGGCGAGUGGCGAACGGGUGAGUAAUACAUCGGAACGUGUCGAGAAGAGGGGGAUAACCACCCGAAAGGGUGGCUAAUACCGCAUAAAUUCUGAGGAAGAAAGCUGGGGACCUAGGAAUAGGCCUAGCGCUUUUUGAGCGGCCGAUGUCGGAUUAGCUAGUUGGUGAGGUAAAGGCUCACCAAGGCGAAGAUCUGUAGCGGGUCUGAGAGGAUGAUCCGCCACACUGGGACUGAGACACGGCCCAGACUCCUACGGGAGGCAGCAGUGGGGAAUUUUGGACAAUGGGGGCAACCCUGAUCCAGCCAUGCCGCGUGUAUGAAGAAGGCCUUAGGGUUGUAAGGUACUUUUGUUAGGGAAGAAAAGUCAGCUGUGAAUAAUGGCUGAUACUGACGGUACCUAAAGAAUAAGCACCGGCUAACUACGUGCCAGCAGCCGCGGUAAUACGUAGGGUGCGAGCGUUAAUCGGAAUUAUUGGGCGUAAAGCGAGUGUAGACGGUUAUUUAAGCCAGAUGUGAAAUACCCGAGCCUAACUUGGGAGGUGCAUAUGGAACUGGGUAGCUAGAGUGUGUCAGAGGGAGGUAGAACUCCACGUGUAGCAGUGAAAUGCGUAGAGAUGUGGAAGAAUACCGAUGGCGAAGGCAGCCUCCUGGGAUAACACUGACGUUGAGGCUCGAAAGCGUGGGGAGCA
RNAcentral lists this ribosomal RNA (725 nucleotides) under uncultured Neisseriales bacterium. RNAcentral describes it as "bacterial SSU rRNA". It matches the Rfam family "Bacterial small subunit ribosomal RNA", at positions 60 to 770 of the family's 1533-position model. The record is from RNAcentral. Lineage: Bacteria; Pseudomonadati; Pseudomonadota; Betaproteobacteria; Neisseriales.